GGAUGGACUCGCGGCCUAUCAGCUAGUUGGUGAGGUAACGGCUCACCAAGGCGUUGACGGGUAGCCGGCCUGAGAGGGUGACCGGCCACACUGGGACCGAGACACGGCCCAGACUCCUACGGGAGGCAGCAGUGGGGAAUUUUGCACAAUGGGCGCAAGCCUGAUGCAGCAACGCCGCGUGGGGGACGAAGGCCUUCGGGUUGUAAACCUCUUUUAGUAGGGAAGAAGCGAAAGUGACGGUACCUGCAGAAAAAGCACCGGCUAACUACGUGCCAGCAGCCGCGGUAAUACGUAGGGUGCGAGCGUUGCCCGGAAUUAUUGGGCGUAAAGAGCUCGUAGGCGGUUUGUCACGUCUGCUGUGAAAACCCGAGGCUCAACCUCGGGCCUGCAGUGGGUACGGGCAGACUAGAGUGCGGUAGGGGAGAACGGAAUUCCUGGUGUAGCGGUGGAAUGCGCAGAUAUCAGGAGGAACACCGAUGGCGAAGGCAGUUCUCUGGGCCGUAACUGACGCUGAGGAGCGAAAGCGUGGGGAGCGAACAGGAUUAGAUACCCUGGUAGUCCACGCCGUAAACGUUGGGCGCUAGAUGUGGGGACCAUUCCACGGUUUCCGCGUCGUAGCUAACGCAUUAAGCGCCCCGCCUGGGGAGUACGGCCGCAAGGCUAAAACUCAAAGGAAUUGACGGGGGCCCGCACAAGCGGCGGAGCAUGCGGAUUAAUUCGAUGCAACGCGAAGAACCUUACCAAGGCUUGUCAUAUGCGAGAACGCUCUAGAAAUAGAGAACUCUUUGGACACUCGUAUACAGGUGGUGCAUGGUUGUCGUCAGCUCGUGUCGUGAGAUGUUGGGUUAAGUCCCGCAACGAGCGCAACCCUCGUCGCAUGUUGCCAGCACGUAAUGGUGGGAACUCAUGUGAGACUGCCGGGGUCAACUCGGAGGAAGGUGGGGAUGACGUCAAAUCAUCAUGCCCCUUAUGUCUUGGGCUUCACGCAUGCUACAAUGGCCGGUACAAAGGGCUGCGAAACCGCAAGGUGGAGCGAAUCCCAAAAAGCCGGUCUCAGUUCGGAUUGAGGUCUGCAACUCGACCUCAUGAAGUCGGAGUCGCUAGUAAUCGCAGAUCAGCAACGCUGCGGUGAAUA
RNAcentral lists this ribosomal RNA (1135 nucleotides) under uncultured Microbacteriaceae bacterium. RNAcentral's name for it is "bacterial SSU rRNA". It matches the Rfam family "Bacterial small subunit ribosomal RNA", at positions 223 to 1368 of the family's 1533-position model. Lineage: Bacteria; Bacillati; Actinomycetota; Actinomycetes; Micrococcales; Microbacteriaceae. The record is from RNAcentral.